AGGGUUAUAGUUAAAUAUAACAUUUGAUUUGCAUUCAAAAAUUAUUGAAAAUUUCAAUUUACCUU
Molecule: transfer RNA, 65 nt
Filed under: Phytobia cambii
Lineage: Eukaryota; Metazoa; Arthropoda; Insecta; Diptera; Agromyzidae
Description: tRNA-Ala
Rfam family: tRNA
About the family: Transfer RNA (tRNA) molecules are approximately 80 nucleotides in length. Their secondary structure includes four short double-helical elements and three loops (D, anti-codon, and T loops). Further hydrogen bonds mediate the characteristic L-shaped molecular structure. tRNAs have two regions of fundamental functional importance: the anti-codon, which is responsible for specific mRNA codon recognition, and the 3' end, to which the tRNAs corresponding amino acid is attached (by aminoacyl-tRNA synthetases). tRNAs cope with the degeneracy of the genetic code in two manners: having more than one tRNA (with a specific anti-codon) for a particular amino acid; and 'wobble' base-pairing, i.e. permitting non-standard base-pairing at the 3rd anti-codon position.
Source: RNAcentral